CGAACCGAGCGAACGUUGUUCGGAAUCACUGGGCUUAAAGGGCGCGUAGGCGGGUUCGCAAGUCUGUGGUGAAAUCCUCCGGCUCAACCGGAGAACUGCCUCGGAUACUGCGGGUCUCGAGGGGUGAUAGGGGUAUGCGGAACUAUCGGUGGAGCGGUGAAAUGCGUUGAUAUCGAUAGGAACUCCGGUGGCGAAGGCGGCAUACUGGAUCACUUCUGACGCUGAGGCGCGAAAGCCAGGGGAGCAAACGGGAUUAGAUACCCCGGUAGUCCUGGCCCUAAACGAUGGGUACUAGCUAGUAGGGUUCACAUGGCUUUACUGGCGAAGCAAAAGUGCUAAGUACCCCGCCUGGGGAGUAUGGUCGCAAGGCUG
Molecule: ribosomal RNA, 372 nt
Filed under: uncultured organism
Description: bacterial SSU rRNA
Rfam family: Bacterial small subunit ribosomal RNA
Source: RNAcentral